Molecule: ribosomal RNA, 253 nt
Filed under: uncultured bacterium
Lineage: Bacteria
Description: partial 16S ribosomal RNA
Rfam family: Bacterial small subunit ribosomal RNA
Source: RNAcentral
GACGAACCGUGCGAACGUUGUUCGGAAUUACUGGGCGUAAAGCGUGCGCAGGCGGUUGUGCAAGACAGAUGUGAAAUCCCCGGGCUCAACCUGGGAAUUGCAUUUGUGACUGCACGGCUAGAGUGUGUCAGAGGGGGGUAGAAUUCCACGUGUAGCAGUGAAAUGCGUAGAUAUGUGGAGGAAUACCGAUGGCGAAGGCAGCCCCCUGGGAUAACACUGACGCUCAUGCACGAAAGCGUGGGGAGCAAACAGG